This 2998-nucleotide ribosomal RNA is filed under the name Lachnospiraceae bacterium MD335. RNAcentral's name for it is "23S ribosomal RNA". The record is from RNAcentral. Lineage: Bacteria; Bacillati; Bacillota; Clostridia; Lachnospirales; Lachnospiraceae.
AGGUUAAGCAAAGAAGGGCACAGGGCGGAUGCCUUGGCACUGAGAGCCGAUGAAAGACGCGAUAAGCUGCGAAAAGCUGCGGAGAGGAGCACAUAUCCAGUGACCCGCAGGUGUCUGAAUGGGGAAACCCACAUGAGCAGCCCUCAUGUACCGUACAGUGAAUCCAUAGCUGUACGGGGGGAACCCGGUGAACUGAAACAUCUAAGUAGCCGGAGGAAAAGAAAGAAAAUUUUCGAUUUCCAAAGUAGCGGCGAGCGAAAUGGAAAGAGCCCAAACCGCCAUGCGUGCAUGGCGGGGUUCGGACUGCAUAAGUGAUUCCCGAUUGUUAGCCAAACGGUCCUGGAAAGACCGGCCAGAGAGGGUGAAAGCCCCGUAGGCGAAAACGAAAGGGACACGGCAGGAUCCAGAGUACCACGGGACACGRGAAACCCUGUGGGAAYGAGCGGGGACCACCCCGUAAGGCUAAAUACUGCUCAGUGACCGAUAGCGCACAGUACUGUGAAGGAAAGGUGAAAAGAACCCCGGGAGGGGAGUGAAAGAGAACCUGAAACCCUGUGUCUACAAGCUGUGGAAGUGCCUUAUGAGCACAACCGCGUACUUUUUGUAGAACGGUCCGGCGAGUUGCGCAGACUGGCAAGGUUAAGCGUCCCAGACGCGGAGCCAAAGAGAAAUCAAGUCUUAACAGGGCCACAGUCAGCCGGCGCAGACCCGAAACCGGGUGAUCUAUCCAUGUCCAGGAUGAAGCUGCCGUAAAAGGCAGUGGAGGUCCGAACGCACAUCCGUUGAAAAGGGUGGCGAUGAGGUGUGGAUAGGGGAGAAAUUCCAAUCGAACCCGGAGAUAGCUGGUUCUCCCCGAAACAGCUUUAGGGCUGGCCUCACGGGAGUCAUAUGGAGGUAGAGCACUGAAUACCCGCGGGGGCGUCAAAGCUUACCAAAGGUUAUCAAACUCCGAAUGCCAUUAUGAUGCUCCGUGGGAGUCAGACUGCACGAGAUAAGUCGGGCAGUCAAAAGGGAAAGAGCCCAGACCCGCGGCUAAGGUCCCAAAGUGUGUGUUAAGUGGAAAAGGAUGUGGGAUUUCRAAGACAGCUAGGAUGUUGGCUCAGAAGCAGCCACACAUUCAAAGAGUGCGUAACAGCUCACUAGUCGAGAGGUCCCGCGCCGAAAAUGUCCGGGGCUGAAACACACCGCCGAAGCCCGGGAACCGCGCAUGCGGUUGGUAGGGGAGCAUUGUUAAUCCGCCGAAGCUGUACCGGCAAGGAGCAGUGGAGGAUUAAGAAGAGAGAAUGCCGGAAUGAGUAGCGAGAAAGAGGUGGGAAUCCUCUUGGCCGAAUAUCCAAGGUUUCCGGGGUAAAGCUGAUCUGCCCCGGGUAAGUCGGGACCUAAGGCGAGGCUUAACAGCGUAGCCGAUGGACAGCAGGUGGAAAUUCCUGCACUGCGGCAUAACAGAACUGYGGGGACGCAUAUGGAGGGCAUGUGCCGGGAAAGGAAAAACCGGUGCAAGCGCAGCAGGAGCAUGGGAGGAAAAGCCCCCAUGGGGAUCCAGGGCGUGACGCGGAGCGAAUUAAAGUAGCGAAGCAUGCAGCACAUGUGCCGAGAAAAGCCGCUAUUGUUUAUGCCGUACCCGUACCGUAAACCGACACAGGUGGAUGGGGAGAGAAUCCCAAGGCCGACGGGAGAAGCACUGUCAAGGAACUCGGCAAAAUGGCCCCGUAACUUAGGGAGAAGGGGCGCCAUCGAAAGAUGGCCGCAGAGAACAGGCCCAAGCAACUGUUUAGCAAAAACACAGGUCUAUGCGAAACCGAAAGGUGAGGUAUAUGGGCUGACGCCUGCCCGGUGCCGGAAGGUUAAGAGGAGAGGUCAGCAGAAAUGCGAAGCCUUGAAUUGAAGCCCCGGUAAACGGCGGCCGUAACUAUAACGGUCCUAAGGUAGCGAAAUUCCUUGUCGGGUAAGUUCCGACCCGCACGAAAGGCGUAAUGAUUUGGGCGCUGUCUCGACAGUGCACCCGGUGAAAUUGAAGUGCCAGUGAAGAUGCUGGCUACCCGCGCCAGGACGGAAAGACCCCAUGGAGCUUUACUCCAGCUUGGCACUGGGAUCUGGUGCCGGAUGUACAGGAUAGGUGGGAGGCUWUGAAGUGCGGACGCCAGUCUGCACGGAGCCGCUGUUGGGAUACCACCCUUCCGGCACCGGGUUUCUAACCCGCGCCCGUAACCCGGGCGGGGGACAAUGCCUGGCGGGGAGUUUGACUGGGGCGGUCGCCUCCGAAAGGGUAUCGGAGGCGCUCAAAGGUUCCCUCAGAAUGGACGGAAACCAUUCGGAGAGCGCAAAGGCAKAAGGGAGCCUGACUGCGACACCGACGGGUGGAGCAGGUACGAAAGUAGGACUUAGUGAUCCGGUGGCAUAAAGUGGGAUUGCCAUCGCUCAACGGAUAAAAGCUACCCUGGGGAUAACAGGCUGAUCACUCCCAAGAGUUCACAUCGACGGAGUGGUUUGGCACCUCGAUGUCGGCUCAUCGCAUCCUGGGGCUGUAGCAGGUCCCAAGGGUUGGGCUGUUCGCCCAUUAAAGCGGUACGCGAGCUGGGUUCAGAACGUCGUGAGACAGUUCGGUCCCUAUCCGGCGCGGGCGUAGGAUAACUGAGGGGAGCUGUCCUUAGUACGAGAGGACCGGGAUGGACGGACCGCUGGUGUACCUGUUGGCGACCAACGCCACGGCAGGGUAGCCAAGUCCGGCAGGGAUAAACGCUGAAGGCAUCUAAGCGUGAAGCCUCCCCCGAGAUGAGUUGWCCGCUGGUGUACCUGUUGGCGACCAACGCCACGGCAGGGUAGCCAAGUCCGGCAGGGAUAAACGCUGAAGGCAUCUAAGCGUGAAGCCUCCCCCGAGAUGAGUURUCCGCUGCGUAAGCGGUAAGACCCCUUGAAGACUACAAGGUAGAUAGGGCAUGGGUGUAAGUGCAGCAAUGUAUUAAGCUGAAUGCCACUAAUAGGUCGAAAGCUUAUCCUG